This 405-nucleotide unclassified non-coding RNA is filed under the name soil metagenome. RNAcentral's name for it is "partial contains 5.8S ribosomal RNA, internal transcribed spacer 2, and large subunit ribosomal RNA". The stretch from base 1 to 121 matches the Rfam family "5.8S ribosomal RNA", at positions 35 to 154 of the family's 154-position model. The record is from RNAcentral.
GAUGAAGAACGUAGCGAAAUGCGAUAAGUAAUGUGAAUUGCAGAAUUCAGUGAAUCAUCGAAUCUUUGAACGCACCUUGCGCCCUUUGGCCAUUCCGAAGGGCAUGCCUGUUUGAGUAUCAUGAACACCUCAACUCUUUAUGGUUUUCCAUGAUGAGCUUGGACUCUGGGGGUUUUGCUUGCUCACAGUCGGCUCCUCUAAAAUGAAUCAGCUUACCAGUGUUUGGUGGGUAUCAUGGGUGUGAUAACUAUCUACGCUUGUGGUUUUUCCACCAGGUAACCUUCAGCAGUGGAGGUUCGCUGGAGCUCAUAGAUGUCUCUCCUCAGUGAGGACAGCCCUUUGAAUGUUUGAUCUCAAAUCAGGUAGGACUACCCGCUGAACUUAAGCAUAUCAAUAAGCGGAGGA